Non-coding RNA from Meleagris gallopavo (turkey), 2172 nucleotides. Lineage: Eukaryota; Metazoa; Chordata; Aves; Galliformes; Phasianidae. The record is from RefSeq and is a predicted model, not a curated record.
UUGGUCCCUGGGCAUCAGGAGAAACAGCAGCAGGGCUUCUGGGAGCUCAGUGCACUCAGUGUCAUGGUUUUUAAGGUCUCUUCAUCAUUAGCUAACUGAGACCAAGGAGAAAGGAAGCCAUGGUACUCCCAAAACUUCUGUUAUGCACUCAUCAGCAACUUACUCCCCUGGACAAUACAGGCAACUUGAAGUGGGAGGAAGGAGGAUUUAAUGCGAUGCCUAUUGGGACACCUCAACUGGACAGUGCUGCUGCUAGGAUGCCAUUAGCACUGAGCAGAGUGGAACAAAUGUAAGGUAUUCUGUUUAAAACAGAUGGCUUCAGGGUGAGACUCUUUGUUCACUUCUACUGCAGUAGAGUCCUGUCCUUGGGAAGAGUGCCUUUAAGCUGACAAUAGCAUAAAGCAUGACAACAAUGUGCAGUUUUGAUAGGCUUCCAUGCAUUUGUCAGACAAGAUCUGAUGAUGUCAAUACUGUCAUUAAUUUCCCUAGAAACUGUCAUCUCAACUUCCCAGUUGACAUGCUUAAUCCAACACUGCCAUGUGUUGCAGCUGACUGCCAAGGACUUUUCAGAGGCUGGGUUUUGUGUCUUUUGGCAUCCCUGUUCCUCUUCUCAUUUACUCUUCACGUUCAUUCAGAUGAAGAUCUCUGAACUGGCCAGAUGAAAACAUGCAGAAAUCUCUGUUCUAUCUUGAACCAGAAAUGCUGCAGAGCUCUGGGAGGUGUCUGCCAGCCCUUGGCAGAGCCACAAGCUGGAUGUAAGUGCCUGCUGAUCCACCUGCUCACAUCCACCUUCCACCACUGAAGAUCAGCAUCCAGGAUGCCACCAGCUUCCCAGUCUUCUUUGCUUUGUUCUGUUGGUGUGAAAUAAAUACCUACUGGACCUAGAAUGCUGUAAAACAUAUCCCUGUACCUUCUCACCAAUACUUAGCAUCAAGCCUUUUCAUUAUUUGUGUUGAAGUUGUGCCAACCCUUUGCUGUUGUUCAGUUGCUGUUUCUUUUAGUUCUUUGAGGGUCCUGCAAGACUGUUCAGCCCAGGAUGUAUCUCUGCCAAAGGCUGCUCUGCUGGGAGACAAGGGAAACUAAUUCACCACUGACAAAAGGUGACAGAGCCAUUAAACAUGAAGCAGAUUUACUAAGUUUGGCUGGAGAGAGUGAGAAAGAGGAGAUAAAGAAGAAGCAUUCCAUUUAAGGACUUCACAAAUAUUUCUGACUUUCUUCCUAGUGAGGAAUGGGUCUCCUUAGGAGACUGAAUUCUGGAUGGAGUCAGAUGGGAUCACCCUGAGGCCAGUAGGAAUGUGCCUUCUCCUCUACACCUUCUCAGUUCUGAUCCCUUCUGCCUGUGGCACAGCUCCCACCAGGAGCUCGAUGGCAUUUAGACUUGCAGCCAUUCCAAUGGGAGGUUUUGUGUUGUGUGAGGAAGCAUACGGAUUCAAACUCAAAGCAGAUUGUUUUAUGCAGUGUCAAAUUCUGUGCCAAUGGAACAUGAUAUGAUAUGUUGAAGUGGGAUACGUAGCAUAUGGCCAUAAUUCAGAGAAACACAUUUCUCCAGCUGGAUAGCUGCUAUUGAGUUAGAAAACAUGUGUCCUGCAUUCUGGUAGGCUCCUACCAGAGCAGUGAGAGGGCGCAUAAGACAGGACAGCCCUGGGAUGGGGAGUCAGCCAGCACCUACAUCUAUCUCACUGCUCCAUAGCGCUGUUCAGAACGAAGUCUCCUGUUGUCACAAUGGGCAAAGUAAAAUGGAACAGAGCUGUUGUUGAGCUCCAUGCCUCAAGUGCAGGUUCAGAAGCCAACACACAUGAACAGGUUGGGCUGCGUAUCAAGGCUGGGAUGUGGGGCUGGCAUUCCCAUGCCUUGUCCCUGCUGUCUCCAGGUGCCCAGCCUGCAGCUCUGCCUGGCUCCCUGUGACACUGCGAGGCUGUGCGUGCAGUUCCUCCUGUGGUUCAGCUGCUAAAUACCUCGUGGUCAGGCUCAUGAGUAAUUACCUGCCGCAGCCUACUUUGAAAUAAUGAAGGGCUUUUUCCAUGUCAGUCACCCCUCCUGACCCACUGCUCCACCUCCCGAAGCUCUCAUCGCACUCAUAGCAGCAGAAGAGUAUUUUAUUCGGUAGCACAGGAUUCUUGAAGUUCCAAUAGCUCAGAUCAAUCCAAGCAAUAAAAUGGGAAAAGGACAGAA